GGAUCUUGAUGAACAACUUAUUCGUUUGAAAAAGGCACUGAGGAAAAAAGAAUAAUUUCUGGUCAAUGCAUAAGUGACCUAUGGCCAACAAAUGCCUGAACUUGGACUUGAUCAUGGAAGAAAACUGCAUAUGAUAUCCUCCACUUCAGCCUCAAGAAAUCAAAUGUGCAUUUGGCUUUUUCUGAUAAUUGUUACAACUUGAUGGUUUAGCUGUCAAAGGAGCAUUUUCUUAAAACAGAAUGAAGUUGUUGCAACCUGUUCAAAAUUCCAAAUAAAUCUUAUGGCAUAAAAUAAUUUGAGUUUUUAAUGGGAAUUGUGUUUCUCAGAAGCAACUGAAUCAAUAACUUUUACUACAGGUUA
Molecule: long non-coding RNA, 360 nt
Organism: Anolis carolinensis (green anole)
Lineage: Eukaryota; Metazoa; Chordata; Lepidosauria; Squamata; Anolidae
Exons: 3
Source: RefSeq, a predicted model, not a curated record